GACGAACGCUGGCGGCGUGCUUAACACAUGCGAGUCGAACGCUGAAGCUCAGCUUUUGUUGGGUGGAUGAGUGGCGAACGGGUGAGUAACACGUGAGUAACCUGCCCCCUUCUUUGGGAUAACGCCCGGAAACGGGUGCUAAUACUGGAUAUUCACUGGUCUUCGCAUGGGGGUUGGUGGAAAGGGUUUUUCUGGUGGGGGAUGGGCUCGCGGCCUAUCAGCUUGUUGGUGGGGUGAUGGCCUACCAAGGCUUUGACGGGUAGCCGGCCUGAGAGGGUGACCGGUCACAUUGGGACUGAGAUACGGCCCAGACUCCUACGGGAGGCGGCAGUGGGGAAUAUUGCACAAUGGGCGCAAGCCUGAUGCAGCGACGCCGCGUGAGGGAUGGAGGCCUUCGGGUUGUGAACCUCUUUCGCUCAUGGUCAAGCCGCAACAAUGGUUGUGGUGAGGGUAGUGGGUAAAGAAGCGCCGGCUAACUACGUG
RNAcentral lists this ribosomal RNA (483 nucleotides) under uncultured bacterium. Its description in RNAcentral is "partial 16S ribosomal RNA". It matches the Rfam family "Bacterial small subunit ribosomal RNA", at positions 28 to 507 of the family's 1533-position model. The record is from RNAcentral.